This 1365-nucleotide ribosomal RNA is filed under the name Triticum aestivum (bread wheat). RNAcentral's name for it is "partial small subunit ribosomal RNA". Lineage: Eukaryota; Viridiplantae; Streptophyta; Magnoliopsida; Poales; Poaceae. The record is from RNAcentral.
AUGGGCUUUACCCUCCCAGCCGCCAUGGCAUCCACCAGCGCCACCUUGCCUGGUUGGUCGAUGCUGGAUCGCUUCGUGUUCUGGAGCGAGAACUUCGCCUUCCCCAAGGACGCCGCCUCAACCCUGGCCCCCGGCACCAACUCCAUGGACCAAAAGUUCCGGAUCUGCUUCAAACUCGUCGACCCGCCGGGGGUGUCCCGCCUUUAUCUGCAGAUGGAGGACGGCCUGUGGCAGUCCCAUAGCUUCGACAUCGUCGCCGCCCACCGCGCCGCGCUUCUCCUCCAGAUGAGCUACCCUAUCCAGGUGCCAGGCUACGACGCCAUCAUCCCGAUGAUCGACCACUUCCUCUACCGCGCCGCCGGCGGUGGCUCUCCGCCGUCUCUGGAGCGGCUCCCCCCUCUUGACGGGACCAUCGCCCAGCUCCAGGACCGAAUCAAGGCCCGGGCCAGUGACGACGCCACCACGAAUCAGCUUUUGCGCAGGCUGCGGGGCCUGGACCUAGGCGUCCUGUGCCGCGGAGGGGACGAGGUCGCCGUCGCAGAGCUCGAGAUCACCGGGUCCAUGGCGCCGCCCAAGCUCCACGUACUCUGCCCGUCCACCUCCAGCAGUUGGGAGGUCAAGCAUCCGCCCAUCGUACCCUGCGACGCCGCCAAGGAAUUUGAUCUGGGGGAGUUCUUUAGGUGCUUUGAUGCUCACGCGGUCGUCUCCUUCAGGAGUUAUCUGUGCUGGGUCGAUUACUCCCUUGGCAUCCUGUUCUGCGAUGUGUUUGACGAGAGCCCCAAGCUCCUAAACCUGGAACUCCCAGCUCAAUUGCCCCAAUUGCAUCGCGAAGUCAUGGGCCGAGCAUGGGCCGAGGCGUACCACGCCGUGGGCGUCACAGAGGGCGAGGUCAUGAAAUUUGUCAAACUUGUCCGUGACAAGGACGAGCUUUCUGAAACCACUGGACCUGCCACCGAUGCUUUCACCAUCACCUCAUGGUCACUCAAAAUAACAGAAAGCAACGGCAUGAUGAAGUGGGAGCAGGAUGCAUUUCUUAGAUCCAGCGAGAUCGGGUUUGAUGGAUUCACGCAUCUUCCUCGUACCCCGUUGGAAUUCCCUCUCAUCAGCAUGUAUGAGCCCAGUGUCGUUUACUUCAUGAUCGGGCAUGACCAGGCGUCGUACAUGUAUAAUAAGGUGUGGAUUGUUGCCGUUGACAUUAGCAAUGGCAAGGUGAAGUCGUCGUCUGCAUACAUCAACGGUGUAGAACAGGUGGGGGACCUCUGUGGUGAGGAAGCUUUGUACUUUGCCAAAGAAAAACCCCAGUGUUACACUAGCUUUCUUCCUGCCGACUUCGCCAAGCACCUCAAUUUGUUUGGAACCAGGUAA